UACAGAGGGUGCGAGCGUUGUUCGGAAUUACUGGGCGUAAAGCGCGCGUAGGCGGACCUGCAAGUCGGGGGUGAAAGCCCGAGGCUCAACCUCGGAACUGCCUUCGAUACUGCGGGUCUCGAGUCCGGGAGAGGUGAGUGGAAUUCCUAGUGUAGCGGUGAAAUGCGCAGAUAUCAGGAGGAACACCGAUGGCGAAGGCAGGUCUCUGGGCCACUACUGACGCUGAGAAGCGAAAGCAUGGGGAGCGAACAGG
RNAcentral lists this ribosomal RNA (253 nucleotides) under uncultured bacterium. Its description in RNAcentral is "partial 16S ribosomal RNA". It matches the Rfam family "Bacterial small subunit ribosomal RNA", at positions 524 to 776 of the family's 1533-position model. The record is from RNAcentral.